UACGUAGGUGGCAAGCGUUGUCCGGAAUUACUGGGCGUAAAGCGUGCGCAGGCGGCGCGUUAAGACAGGUGUGAAAGCCCCGAGCUUAACUUGGGAAUUGCGCUUGUGACUGGCGUGCUGGAGUGUGGCAGAGGGGGGUGGAAUUCCGCGUGUAGCAGUGAAAUGCGUAGAGAUGCGGAGGAACACCGAUGGCGAAGGCAGCCCCCUGGGCUAACACUGACGCUCAGGCACGAAAGCGUGGGGAGCAAACAGG
Molecule: ribosomal RNA, 253 nt
Filed under: uncultured bacterium
Lineage: Bacteria
Description: partial 16S ribosomal RNA
Rfam family: Bacterial small subunit ribosomal RNA
Source: RNAcentral